This 71-nucleotide transfer RNA is filed under the name Bos taurus (domestic cattle). It matches the Rfam family "tRNA". From Rfam's summary of the family: Transfer RNA (tRNA) molecules are approximately 80 nucleotides in length. Their secondary structure includes four short double-helical elements and three loops (D, anti-codon, and T loops). The record is from Rfam by way of RNAcentral. Lineage: Eukaryota; Metazoa; Chordata; Mammalia; Artiodactyla; Bovidae. RNAcentral also lists the same sequence under 4 other names.
CUCUGGUGACUCAGAUAGUAAAGAAUCUGCCUGUAAUGCAGGAGACCCAGGUUCCAUCCCUGGAUCAGAAA